GCGUGCUUAACACAUGCAAGUCGAACGGUGAAAGAGAAGCUUGCUUCUCUGGAUCAGUGGCGAACGGGUGAGUAACACGUGAGUAACCUGCCCUUGACUCUGGGAUAAGCGUUGGAAACGACGUCUAAUACCGGAUACGAACCGUGGAGGCAUCUCCUGCGGUUGGAAAGAAUUUUGGUCAAGGAUGGACUCGCGGCCUAUCAGGUAGUUGGUGAGGUAACGGCUCACCAAGCCGACGACGGGUAGCCGGCCUGAGAGGGUGACCGGCCACACUGGGACUGAGACACGGCCCAGACUCCUACGGGAGGCAGCAGUGGGGAAUAUUGCACAAUGGGCGAAAGCCUGAUGCAGCAACGCCGCGUGAGGGACGACGGCCUUCGGGUUGUAAACCUCUUUUAGCAGGGAAGAAGCGAAAGUGACGGUACCUGCAGAAAAAGCACCGGCUAACUACGUGCCAGCAGCCGCGGUAAUACGUAGGGCGCAAGCGUUGUCCGGAAUUAUUGGGCGUAAAGAGCUCGUAGGCGGUUUGUCGCGUCUGCUGUGAAAACGCGAGGCUCAACCUCGCGCCUGCAGUGGGUACGGGCAGACUAGAGUGCGGUAGGGGAGAUUGGAAUUCCUGGUGUAGCGGUGGAAUGCGCAGAUAUCAGGAGGAACACCGAUGGCGAAGGCAGAUCUCUGGGCCGUAACUGACGCUGAGGAGCGAAAGCAUGGGGAGCGAACAGGAUUAGAUACCCUGGUAGUCCAUGCCGUAAACGUUGGGAACUAGAUGUGGGGACCAUUCCACGGUCUCCGUGUCGCAGCUAACGCAUUAAGUUCCCCGCCUGGGGAGUACGGCCGCAAGGCUAAAACUCAAAGGAAUUGACG
RNAcentral lists this ribosomal RNA (864 nucleotides) under Labedella endophytica. RNAcentral's name for it is "bacterial SSU rRNA". It matches the Rfam family "Bacterial small subunit ribosomal RNA", at positions 42 to 915 of the family's 1533-position model. The record is from RNAcentral. Lineage: Bacteria; Bacillati; Actinomycetota; Actinomycetes; Micrococcales; Microbacteriaceae.